Molecule: ribosomal RNA, 432 nt
Filed under: uncultured bacterium
Lineage: Bacteria
Description: partial 16S ribosomal RNA
Rfam family: Bacterial small subunit ribosomal RNA
Source: RNAcentral
AACGAACGCUGGCGGCAGGCCUAACACAUGCAAGUCGAGCGCGCCCUUCGGGGUGAGCGGCGGACGGGUGAGUAACGCGUGGGAACGUGCCCUUUUCUACGGAAUAGCCUCGGGAAACUGAGAGUAAUACCGUAUACGCCCUUUGGGGGAAAGAUUUAUCGGAAAAGGAUCGGCCCGCGUUGGAUUAGGUAGUUGGUGGGGUAAUGGCCUACCAAGCCGACGAUCCAUAGCUGGUUUGAGAGGAUGAUCAGCCACACUGGGACUGAGACACGGCCCAGACUCCUACGGGAGGCAGCAGUGGGGAAUCUUAGACAAUGGGGGCAACCCUGAUCUAGCCAUGCCGCGUGAGUGAUGAAGGCCUUAGGGUUGUAAAGCUCUUUCAGCUGGGAAGAUAAUGACGGUACCAGCAGAAGAAGCCCCGGCUACUCCGUG